AAGUGGGGGUCAUAGGGUCUCUGGAGGGUGUGUGAGAUGAGGCCUCCCUGUCCCUCUUCCCAGCCCUCACGUGUGGUCCUCAAGAGGCCACCUAAGGACCCAGGCGUGCUGUUAAUUGAGAGAGGACAGCAGCUCUGGCUGAGAUCAGGAUGCUCACCGUGGGUGGGGAGUUCCAGGGACUGGAGGCAGCAAGGGAGAUGUGGGGAGGCCACUGUGAGCAUCCUGUGGCCAGCCAGGCAGUGUCAGAGCUGGACGAGGCCGUGUGCUGUGAGUGGGGGACAGUGCCUUAUCCCUGAUCUCUAACAGACCACCCAAGCUCAGGGACGUGAAACAAGAACUGUUUCAUUGUGCCUCAGGCUCCGUGGACAGACAUCAGGAGGGCAGAGCAGGGAGGCCCCGUGACAGGGUGUUACAGGAAGGCUGGUGAGAGGUGUGACUUUGGUGGCUGGGUGUGAAAUUCUCUGGAGGCUUCCUCACCCCGAUGUGUGGCAGCCAGGCUGGGGGACCCCAAAUUUGGGCUCCAUUGGGGCUGUUAAUGUAGAUCCCACACCUGACUUCUCCAGGUGACUCGGGCUUCCUCAGAGCGUGGGCAUCAGGGAGGGGAAGUGAUAGUUUUUCAUGGUGCCUCAGAGCCUCAUGAGAGGGUAUUUGCAGUGAUAAUGCAGAAGCCUUUUAUGACAUCAGCUCAGAAGUCACACUGUGUCACUUUCACUAUGCUGGGUCAGCUCAGGUUCCAAGGGAGAACACAGACCUGGUUCUCAGAGGAGUAGGCUGGGCUUGGCCUUCUGUGACCCGCUGCAGGCUAGCACUUGGGCUGGCAGUUUCCAGUUGAUGGGCACUUGGGCUGUUUCCAAGCUUUCACUAUUACCAACUGUGCCGCCAUAAACACGGGUGCACAUAUAUCUCUGUGGUCAGGACCGCUGCUGUUGCCAGUGCUCUGAGGGCCCAAGAGGAAGAAGCCAGGGCUCACUGAGUGAGAGAGCAGCUGUGCUGUGGCCUCUGACAGCUGGGGACUGAAUGAGAAGGUCCCCAGCUGUCCUGCAGGCCCCAGCACCUGGCCUGGACUGAAUCAGCUGUGGCUGGGUGCUGGGAUCUGCAGAGCUGAGUCCCUGGGGUGGCCCUGAGGCCUUGGCUCUGUUAAUAAAGAGCAGCACUGGGGUGCAUCAAAGUCUCAUCCUACUGCAGAAGAAACUAAGCUCAGAGAGAUUUCCAGCUUCCUCAGAUCAUUGCUCAGAGCAGUGGAUCAAGAACAAGACCCCAGGAUGUCAGCACUAAGGUCAUGUCCUUCUUAGGCUGCCACAUGUGUGGAUAGCUCCACAUGGGCACUGGACAUCCUGGAGGACUUAAGAACAAGAACACAGGAGGAGGUCUAGAUUCCCUGCUUCAGCUCUACCUUAACCUUAUACUCUCUCUCCUCGUUCUGAGCAAUUUCCACAGUCCUCCUAAACUUCAGCACCAGUGUGGCAACCUCGGAACCAGCCUUGCUCACCUGUGCCUCAGUUUCCUACCAGUGGAUGAGGAUACUGUGUGUGUUACAGAUUUCUGAGGCUCCAGGGAGAUGUAGAGUGAGAGGAGCCUAGACGAACGUCCCCACACAGUCAGGGUCCAUGCACUUCAUUGUCAUCCUGCCAUUUGAAGACUGCCCCUUCCAGGACCAACUGGUCUCUGAGCUGGACUUUCCUUCCCAGUGACAUAGGACUCUAAAUGAUAUAUGGGAAAUAGCAUAACUCUCAACCUGUUAGAUUUCACAUACACCAAGUUUGUGUUCUCCAAAAUUAAACAAUGAAUUUUAAGUAACAACGGAGGUUGAGAGUUGGAAAUCUUUUUUAUUUUUUUGGUACCAG
Molecule: long non-coding RNA, 1844 nt
Filed under: Heterocephalus glaber (naked mole-rat)
Lineage: Eukaryota; Metazoa; Chordata; Mammalia; Rodentia; Bathyergidae
Description: lncRNA (ENSHGLG00000033067.1)
Source: RNAcentral